Molecule: ribosomal RNA, 1311 nt
Filed under: Podallea sp. YW-2016
Lineage: Eukaryota; Metazoa; Arthropoda; Insecta; Neuroptera; Berothidae
Description: 16S ribosomal RNA
Source: RNAcentral
UAAAUAAAAAUUAUUAUAAUUAUAAGUUAAUUAAAAUUUUAAUAAAAGUAAUUUUAUGAUUUUCAAUUUAAGUAUAGUGUAUAGAAAUUAAUAAUUUUAAUUAUAGUGAAUAGUAUAGUAAUAGAAUUUUUAAAAAUUUAUAAUUAGUUGGUAAGUAAAUUUAAUUUAUUGUACCUUUUGUAUCAGGGUUUAUUAAAAAAUAAUUAUUGAUUUAAUUUUCUCGAAUUUAAGAGAGUUAAAAUUUUAUUAUUUUUAUUGUUUUAUAAAUAUUUUAAAUAAAAUUUUAGUAAUGAAAUGUUAUUCGUUCUUAAAGAUAUCUGGUUUUUUAAGAAUUAAAUUUAAUUUAGAUUAUUACUUGAAUGGAUUUACUUUAAAAAAUUUAUUUAGUGAUAUAUAAAAAUUGUUAGGGAUAAGCUUAAUAAUUUAAUUUUUAAAUAAUAAAAAUUAAUAAAUAAAAUAGGAUUAGAAAUUUUCAUUUUUUAUUAAAAUGUUAUAAUUAAUUAAUUUAUUUAUAUAAUUUGUUAUUAAUAUUUAAAAUAAUUUAUUAAAAUAUUAUAUUUAAUUAUUAAUAUAAAAAAUAAUGAUAAAAUUAGUAUUAAUUUAUUUAAAAGUAAAAUCUUAAUUAAGAUUAAAAUAAGGAAUUCAGCAAGAUAAUACUCACCUGUUUAUCAAAAACAUGUCUUUUUGAAAAUAAUAAAAAGUCUAACCUGCCCACUGAAUAAAUUUUAAAGGGCCGCGGUAUAUUGACUGUGCAAAGGUAGCAUAAUCAUUUGUCUCUUAAUUGGAGGCUAGAAUGAAUGGUUGAAUGAAGUAUUAACUGUCUCAUUUUAAUAAAUAUAAAAAUUUAAUUUUUAGUUAAAAAUCUAAAAUUUUUUUAAAGGACGAGAAGACCCUAUAAAUCUUAAUUUUAUUAAAUAAAUUAUAUUGUAGAAUAAAAUUAUUUAUUUUAUUUAAUAAAAUUUUGUUGGGGUGACAGGAAAAUUAAUAAAACUUUUUUUAUUUUUAACCAUUGAUUUAUGAUUAAUUGAUCCAAUUUUAUUGAUUAAAAGAUUAAGAUACUUUAGGGAUAACAGCGUAAUUUUUUUGAAGAGUUCUAAUCGAUAAAAAAGAUUGCGACCUCGAUGUUGAAUUAAAGAUAAUUUUAAAUGCAGUAGUUUAAUAAUUAGGUCUGUUCGACCUUUAAAUCUUUACAUGAUUUGAGUUCAAACCGGUGUGAGCCAGGUUGGUUUCUAUCCUUAAUUAAUUAAAAUAUUUUAGUACGAAAGGACCAAAUAUUUAAAAUAUUUUUUUUAUUAGAAUAAUAUUAAUUUA